UCAUUUUCCUCUUCCUCCGGUACAAGAACACUAGAUACUUUCUCUUCUUUUUCAAGAGUCGACUUCUUCAGUUCCUUAAGCUCAACCCUCUGUUUAUACAUAAUUUCAUCAGCUUCAUCUAGAAGCCUCCCUAUCCGCUGAAUCUCUUCAUCUUUUUGUUUGAGUUCUUUCUCCAGGUUUUCCUUCUCCAUAAUUGUUGCAUCCUUUGCCAAGAUCACUUCAUCCAUUGUUGGGAUUGGGCUCUCUAUGUCCACUGCAUCUGAUCUCUUUGCCAUCAACAA
RNAcentral lists this long non-coding RNA (281 nucleotides) under Vigna radiata. RNAcentral's name for it is "long non-coding RNA (VRAD_LNC015655)". Lineage: Eukaryota; Viridiplantae; Streptophyta; Magnoliopsida; Fabales; Fabaceae. The record is from RNAcentral.